Molecule: ribosomal RNA, 253 nt
Filed under: uncultured bacterium
Lineage: Bacteria
Description: partial 16S ribosomal RNA
Rfam family: Bacterial small subunit ribosomal RNA
Source: RNAcentral
UACGGGGGGGGCAAGCGUUGUUCGGAAUUACUGGGCGUAAAGGGCUCGUAGGCGGCCAACUAAGUCAGACGUGAAAUCCCUCGGCUUAACCGGGGAACUGCGUCUGAUACUGGAUGGCUAGAGGUUGGGAGAGGGAUGCGGAAUUCCAGGUGUAGCGGUGAAAUGCGCAGAUAUCAGGAAGAACACCAAUGGCGAAGGCAGCUCUCUGGGACGGUACUGACGCUGAGACGCGAAAGCGUGGGGAGCGAACAGG